AUUGAACGCUGGCGGCAGGCCUAACACAUGCAAGUCGAGCGGCGGCGGACGGGUGAGUAAUGUCUGGGACACUGCCUGAUGGUGGUGGAUAACUACUGGAACCGGUAGCUAAUACCGCAUACCAUCAGAUUUGCCCAGAUGGGAUUAGCUAGUAGGUGGGGUAACGGCUCACCUAGGCGACGAUCCCUAGCUGGUCUGAGAGGAUGACCAGCCACACUGGAACUGAGACACGGUCCAGACUCCGACGGGAGGCAGCAGUGGGGAAUAUUGCACAAUGGGCGCAAGCCUGAUGCAGCCAUGCCGCGUGUAUGAAGAAGGCCUUCGGGUUGUAAAGUACUUUCAGCGGGGAGGCGUUACCCGCAGAAGAAGCACCGGCUAACUCCGUGCCAGCAGCCGCGGUAAUAC
Molecule: ribosomal RNA, 405 nt
Filed under: uncultured bacterium
Lineage: Bacteria
Description: partial 16S ribosomal RNA
Rfam family: Bacterial small subunit ribosomal RNA
Source: RNAcentral